GGAAGAUUCAACGAACCAGGUCUGCAUUCCGGCAGGCUGCUCCUUUGGGAGGAAGGAUGUCUCACCAGUUUGCCCCAGGCUUACCACUCCCUAUGGCCUCCCAACUCACACAUACACUGCAGCUUUACACAGGAUAGAGCUUAGAUAAAAGCGAAUUACUUAUUACUCCUAAGUCGCUAUCAAAGGUUAGAAAAUACAAGAUAUGCUGAAAGGGAUAUGUUUCCAGAAAAACGGGCAAAUGUUUCUUUGUGGAAGAGAAGAUUAUUUCUACGUUUCAUAAGCAUGCAAAGAAGUUCUGCAUGGAAAUUCCCCACGUGCUUCCUGCAGUUGGGUGACAGUAGGUCUCUGAGCUUUCUGCCCCACAGCGUGCCCUAUAAUCCCAAAUGGGUCUUAAAGGACCCUUGGGAACUAGAUGAGCAUUUUCCAGAUCACAGAAUUAGAAGUUAAACACUGAAGUCAGUGGAUACUAAGGACAGGGAUGUUUUCCCCCAAUAUAACAAAUAGAGGGGUCCAGUGAAAGAGCCUAAAAGUAGACCACGGGGCCACAGGGCACACAGUUGUCCCAACAUCGCUUCCCACCAUCAGGGUGUCAGGGCAGUGCUCUCCCACUUGCUACCACUGCUUAUCUUUCGGAUUAUUUUUUACCUUCUUUCUCUAGAGUCUUGUCAAUUCUGCCCUUUCACAGAAAUGCUAAUCUUUCAGAGUUGAUCAGCCAAUCAGGAGCUCCUUUGGGUUAGGUCAGCAAACCACAGGCUGGAAAUGUCCCUGGGGUCCUGGGACCUUGGCUGUUUUCACCCUGUUGAAGGCUCAAAGGGCUCUUUCUUUGCUGCCAUAGACAUUCUUCCCUGGGGUAGGGAGAGACUGUAUGUGUGUGUGCGUGUGUUGGGGGAGCUGGGUUAACCAAAAGAAGACAAGGGGGUGACCGAUUCUACGUGCCUGAAAGUUCAGAAGGCCGUCUUCUGAGAAAUGAGUUUCAACCCCUCUCCUGAAUUCUCCAUGUUCCGAGAGUCUACUUGAUGUGCAAGACCUCAGGCUGCCUCAUCCUCAGUAAUACCCUGGCUGAGAAAUUCCGGCCAAAAGACAAAGGCCCUAUUUGCUUCGGAAAUGUGCCUAACACCAUGGUCCCAUCAGACACAGUGGGGACCAGGGAAAUAGAACAGGCUUUGGAGGGAAGGCCAACUGACCAGGUGAUUCCGCCACUUACUCCCUCUGUGGGCACAUCUCUCUGGGCCUCAGUUUCCUUACCUGUAAAAUGGGGGCAACAAUGCCUACUUCAUGGGUUCUUGUGAAAAUUAACUGAGGCACCAUGUAAAGUACUUCAAAUCAUGGUGCUUGGCACACAGAAGACGCCUUCUUAAGCGACAGUCCUGGUCAGUUAUCAGGCAGUUCAGCACAGCUCCAGGGGCAGGUUCUGGAGGCAAACAGCCAGAGUUCAAAUACCAGCUCAACCACUUAUCAGUAGGAAGGAUACACCUGACAGCUUACUCUGGGCUCUGUGUGCAUGAAUGACUGCCUAAGAGAUCGUACUCAUUCACUUUCCUGGACACUACGGGCUUCCCACGCAUUGAGCUAAUUUUGUAUAGUGCAUGUCCCAUGUACCAGACACUGUGCUAUAUGCUGGGACAACAAGCACUGGGAAUACGUAUUUUUAAAAGCUCCCCAGGUGACUCUGAAUAUCAGCCAGGGUUGAAAAUGACCACUUGGUGUUUCACAGGGAACAAGCUCUGUGGUAAACCUAACAGAACUGGGGUCCCAACAUCACCCCCCACCUCUCCCCGCUGCUCUCUGAGGUUGAGAACUGUAUUCCCUACAAUAAUAUGGAACUCACACUCAAAACAGGAGGAGCAGAGACCGAGUCUUCCUCUUCCCUCCACCAGGCUCCUUAGCUGCAGCCCCACCGCCCUUCCUCAAUCUGGAAAGGGCAGCAAAGUGAGGGAGUGUAUCCCCCGGAAGCCUGGGGACCCUGCCUGAUCUCUGGCCUGGGAGCAGUUGGGGCUAGCACAGCCAGACAUCAUCCAUCCUUCACCCCAGGGUGCAGGCCUCAGACGUCCAACACCUCAUGACAACAGCCAUUUGGCCAGCAGCUUCUGGGAGGAUAAUGCUGAGGCCAAAACUCAACAGGCAGAAGUAACUUGCCCCAAGUAUUGGUCCUGCUUGGAGGCAAAACAAUCAGUAGGUUGAUGACAGCCUGAUGCUUGAGAAAUCAUUUUUUUAAAAAGACGGGGGGGGGGGGGGGGUGGGGGGGGUUGAAGAUUGCUUAAAAGCAGCCCUUUAACUCAGAAGGCAGUUCCAUCCACCUUACAAAUUCAAUGCCCUCUGAAUACACAUCUAUCUGUCACAGCAGGGAAUCUUUUAACUAGCAAAAGAGCAAGAGAAGGAAUUCAGAUCAACAUCGCGGGCUGUAGCAAUAAAGCCCUGCCGUGGAUUCACCCCUUUCCCUCGAGGCAGGAAAGAAUCAAGGAAGAAUUUCAAAAUCUUUUUAUACAAUUAAAGAAAGGGAUUUGGUGGGAGAAGGGAGCAAGGAGGACAAGAUCAAGAAUGUAAGGUUUGCUAUUUUAAGCUCAAAAUAAAUCAUGAUAAGAAAGGACUAGAAGGUUUGAUUUUAUUUCUCAGAUCUUCUCCAUGGCAGGAACAGUAUCUGGUGUUUGGGGGAGGGGGGGGCAAACUGUCAGGCCAGCAUCAGUCUUUUCACCCCCUCAUCCAGUUCCCCCAAAAUAAAACCAGUCUGUCGUGUGCUUCCAGAAUUUUACAAUCUUGAAUUACGGCUUUGAAAUAAUUCGGAUUCCACUAUAACAAAUCUCAGAGAUAUGAGGCAGGCUACAAAGAAAAUCCAGCAAAAUAUAUCCAAAGAACUGUAUCCAAGAUGGUAGCAGGAAAAAGAACCAGACAAUAUGAUAAAUUUGGCACACGAGGACCAGCGAAUGACGUACCAAACCAGUAAAGACAGCUCCCUAAGAAAUACACAUUCACGGGGCCGGCCCCGUGGCCGAGUGGUUAAGUUUGUGUGCUCCGCUGCGGCGGCCCAGGGUUUGGAUCCUGGGCACGGACAUGGCACCACUCAUCAGGCCACGUUGAGGCGGCGUCCCACAUCCCACAACUAGAAGGACCUGCAACUAGGAUAUACAACUGUGUACAGGGGGGGUUUGGGGAGAUAAAGCAGGAAAAAAAGAAAAAGAUUGGCAACAGUUGUUAGCCCAGGUGCCAAUCUUUAAAAAAAAAAAAGGAAAUACACAGUCACUAUUUCCCAAAACUAUUUUAGAACCCACUCUUGUCAACCAUUACUUUCUAGAAGCCUAACUUUUACAACAUCCAAUCCUUGAUCAUUUAUGAUACAAAAGAAAACAAAAGCGGGUGGAACCAUAGUACUGUGCAUUAUAAAAAACAUUUCCUUGAGAGAACCAAAGUUCUGAAGAUACAUACAUCAGUCAGCUGCUUGGCAACUUUAAGGUCGACACCUGUGGGGAUCGACAGACAGCCCAGGUGUGGGUUGUUUUUAUCACUUCGCUUCAUCAGUGUACUUCUACAUUUUGGCUUGGCCCUGUCAGAUCUUUUCUUCUCUCAAACCAGUGAGAAAAGUGUACAUAUGCUAAUAUAUGUUAAUAUACAGUCGCACGCUGCAUAAGGACACUUUGGGACCACAUAUACGAUGACGGUGGUCCCAUGAGAUUAGUCCCAGAUAGGCUAGGUGUGCAGUGGCUCUACCACCUAGGUUUGUGUAAGUACACUCUGUGAUGUUCGCACAACAACAAAAUUGCCCAAGGAUGCAUUUCUUAGAACGUAUCCCGUCGUUAAGCGACACAUGACCGUGCACACACAUAUACAUGUUUAUAAAAUGGAUCUCAACCCCCCAAAAACCUUCUUUACCUCUUUUCAGAUUUAAAAGCUUAUCACUCACUUCAUUUGAACUCUCUUAACAAUCACAAAGUUGGAGACCAGUGUUGUAACCACAGCACUCAGGAACUAGACUGUAGUUUUUAUUGCCUAUUCUCUGUUGAGAUGCCCAAGUUCUCUUUUUGAAGACAUGUGUGGUUAAAUCCAGCAUCUUUUUUAAUAAAUACAUUUCUUUAAAUGUAAGCCAGGGGGUGUCUGUCAGCUGUGGGGAAACAAA
RNAcentral lists this long non-coding RNA (4108 nucleotides) under Equus asinus (donkey). Its description in RNAcentral is "lncRNA (ENSEASG00005034856.1)". The record is from RNAcentral. Lineage: Eukaryota; Metazoa; Chordata; Mammalia; Perissodactyla; Equidae.